UACCAGCCCCCUGAGUGGUAAGGAUGAUUAUUUGGCCUAAAGCGUUCGUAGCCGGCUUGGCAAGUCUUUUGUUAAAUCCAACGAUUCAAUCGUUGGGCCGCAAAAGAUACUGUUAUGCUAGAGGACGGGAGAGGUCGACGGUAGUCCAGGGGUAGGGGUGAAAUCCUAUAAUCCUUGGAGGACCACCAGUGGCGAAGGCGGUCGACUAGAACGUGCCUGACGGUGAGGGACGAAAGCUGGGGGAGCGAACCGGAUUAGAUACCCGGGUAGUCCCAGCUGUAAACGAUGCGGGCUAGGUGUUGGGGUAGCCACGAGCUGCCCCAGUGCCGCAGAGAAGUUGUUAAGCCCGCCGCCUGGGGAGUACGGCCGCAAGGCUGAAACUUAAAGGAAUUGGCGGGGGAACACCACAAGGGGUGAAGGCUGCGGUUU
Molecule: ribosomal RNA, 429 nt
Filed under: uncultured archaeon
Lineage: Archaea
Description: bacterial SSU rRNA
Rfam family: Archaeal small subunit ribosomal RNA
Source: RNAcentral